AAAACUACUACCACCAGCAACAAAAGUUACUCCAUCAACUAGAAAAGCUACUACCACCGACUACAAAAGCUACUACCGCCAGCAAGAAAAGCUACUAUCCCUAACUACAAAAGCUACUACCAUACAUAAUAAAAUCUACUACUACCAAGUAAUACAAAAUAUACUAUUACAGUGUCAAAAAUAUACUAUCGUAAUGACAAAAAUAUACUACUACUGUGUUGGAAAUAUACUAUCAUAACCAUAACCAGUCAAUUGUGAGCUUGUUGAGCGUUGAGCAUGUCAAGAGGACGGUUCCAUUCUCGGUAGAGCCUUCGUUUCCCGACGCCGUCGAUGCCAGCAACGACGGGUUUAUCUGGAUCGGAUCUAGAGGUGAAGGCGCUAGAUGGUUGAGCGGAUCAAAUCAUAAGGCGUCAUCGUCGAUCUGGAGGCUUCAUCGUUGGGCCGGCGACGUCGAGGUCGAAUCAGAACACGUCAAGGUCAAAUCAGAAGAGGCCGAGGUUAAGGCCGAAUUAGAAGUCUGGAUCGGAUCUAGAGGUGAAGGCGCUAGAUGGUUGAGCGGAUCAAAUCAGAAGGUGUCAUUGUCGAUCCGAAGGCUUCGUCGUUGGGCCGGCGACGUCGAGGUCGAAUCAGAAGAGGCCGAGGUUGAGGCCGAAUUAGAAGUCGUCGUUGAUGGAAUUAGACGCAGUCGAGGCGUCAACGUCAAGCUGGCAGCGUCGAGGUCGAGGUCGAGGCGUCGUCAUCGUCGUCAGAGUAGCAGAUCGGCGCCGAGCUAUCAUCGUCGAGUCAGUGUUGGCCUGAGACGCCGCCAUGGCCGGAGAUUCAAGAUCGGAGAAGAGAGGGAGGAGGAAGACGAUGAGCCAGAGAGAGAGAGAGAGAGAGAGAGAGAGAGAGAGAGAGAGAGAGAGAGAGAGAGAGAGAGAGAGAGAGAGAGAGAGAGAGAGAGAGAGAGAGAGAGAGAGAGAGAGAGAGAGAGAGAGAGAGAGAGAG
RNAcentral lists this long non-coding RNA (987 nucleotides) under Fragaria vesca (wild strawberry). Its description in RNAcentral is "long non-coding RNA (FVES_LNC001744)". The record is from RNAcentral. Lineage: Eukaryota; Viridiplantae; Streptophyta; Magnoliopsida; Rosales; Rosaceae.